CUAUAUUUGAUAAGUAGCAUUAAAAAUUAUGCAAUUUUUGUUCCGAAAUAACUCUAUAUUUAUCAAAUGUUCAUGAAUAGAGGAAAAAUCGUAAUUUAUUGCUGCAUGUUUAACAAAAUUAAAAAAAAAGCACUAUUUACAGUUUUAUAAAAUUUGGGUCACAUAAUCUCCUUGCAAAAUGAAACAAAUUGUUGUUUUGAAAAAUAGGGGUCCAUGCACUCGUUUUUAAAUUAAAUCAGUUUGAAUGAUAAAAAUCAGUCGAAAAAUGCAUCUUUUCCCGAUAUGUCACAGUUUGACGUCGCGAAAAUAACAAUUUACGUUAGCAACGUCAUUACCUUCCAUGUAACUGCAUCGUAUGCCCUUAAUAACACAUUGCAAAUCUUUGACUUUCUGACUAUUUUCUAUACAAGUGCAACACUGCCGAAAGUUGGUGUAAAAGCACUAAUGUGAAUAGCUUUCAUUACACCAGGCAAACCUUUCUUUGGAUGUUACUUAGAGAUGUUAAGUGAAAAAAGAUAUUUAAUUUGACCAUUCUGUGUUAAAAUGAUACGUUCAAAUAUGGUUUGUACAUGCUAACUUUAUUGAUGUUGCUUUCAAUUGGUGGAUUACUUCUGUUUACAAAACUACAAAUAGAAAUGGGAAAUUUUUAUUAUAAUUUUUUAAAAGUUUUAUUGUAAUCUUUAUUUUUAACUUUAUCUUAGCAAUCCUGGUGACAAUUUAUCAAGGAAUGGUUUGGUAGUAAUAAU
This 746-nucleotide long non-coding RNA is filed under the name Mytilus galloprovincialis (Mediterranean mussel). Lineage: Eukaryota; Metazoa; Mollusca; Bivalvia; Mytilida; Mytilidae. The record is from RNAcentral.